RNAcentral lists this ribosomal RNA (552 nucleotides) under Conus striatus (striated cone). RNAcentral describes it as "partial 12S ribosomal RNA". The record is from RNAcentral. Lineage: Eukaryota; Metazoa; Mollusca; Gastropoda; Neogastropoda; Conidae.
AAACCAAGAAAUUUAGUCAUUCUUUUAUGGUAAAAAGACAGUUAGGCAGGGUAUAGUUAAAAUCGUUGGACCUUUAGUAGAGGAGUAAAAUCUAAAUACUAAAAGUUAUACCGGGGAUGAUUUAUUUGAGAUGCUGAGUCUGUGACAGCUUUAAGGGAAACUGGGAUUGGAUACCCCAUUAUUUUUAGUUAUAAAUUAGUUUAAGCUUACCAGAGUACUACGAAUAAAAAAGUUUAAAACUCAAAGAGCUUGGCGGUGUUUUAGACCUCUCAGGGGAACCUGUCUCAUAAUCGACAAUCCACGUUAAACCUAACCUUUUAUAGUAGUUCAGCUUGUAUACCGUCGUCGUCAGGUAACUUCUUAAAAUAUAGUAGUUAGCUCGAGAAUUGGAUUAAUUAGAACGUCAGAUCAAGGUGCAGCUAAUGAGAAGGUGAGGAUGGGUUACAAUUACAUAUUUGUAAAUACGGAAAACACUUGAAAUGAAGUGUCUUAAAGGAGGACUUGAAAGUAAUUUUGAUUAUAUAAAUGGAAUGAAUGCGGCUCUGAAACGUG